Molecule: ribosomal RNA, 345 nt
Filed under: uncultured bacterium
Lineage: Bacteria
Description: partial 16S ribosomal RNA
Rfam family: Bacterial small subunit ribosomal RNA
Source: RNAcentral
CCUACGGGAGGCAGCAGUGGGGAAUAUUGGGCAAUGGAGGAAACUCUGACCCAGCAACGCCGCGUGAAGGAUGAAGGUUUGAGGAGUGGAAACUUCUGUUGCGAGGGAGGAAGAAUGAGGGUAGCGCGUGAGGAAGCGCGGGCAAACUACGUGACAGCAGGCGCGGUAAGACGUAGGUGGCAAGCGUUGUCCGGAAUGACGGGGCGUAAAGGGAGCGUAGGGGGCCUUUUAAGUCAUAUGUGACAGCCCCCGGCUGAACCGUGGAACUGCCUAUAAAACUGGAGGUCUGGAGUGCAGGAGGUGUAAGCGGAAUUUCUAUUGUAGCGGUGUAAUGCGUAGAUAUUA